AGAAGUACUGUCCAGGGGAGAUACCAUGAUCACGAAGGUGGUUUUCCCAGGUUGAGGCUUUCCAUUGCACUCUGGAUGUGCUGACCCCUGCGAUUUCUCCAAGUGAGGGAAACUCGACUGCAUAAUUUGUUGUAGUGGGGGACUGCAUUCGCUCUCUCCCCUU
This 163-nucleotide small nuclear RNA is filed under the name Mus spicilegus (steppe mouse). RNAcentral describes it as "U1 spliceosomal RNA (ENSMSIG00000011955.1)". It matches the Rfam family "U1 spliceosomal RNA". Rfam says of the family: U1 is a small nuclear RNA (snRNA) component of the spliceosome (involved in pre-mRNA splicing). Its 5' end forms complementary base pairs with the 5' splice junction, thus defining the 5' donor site of an intron. The record is from Rfam by way of RNAcentral. Lineage: Eukaryota; Metazoa; Chordata; Mammalia; Rodentia; Muridae.